CAGUCGCCGCGGGAAUACGAAGGGGGCUAGCGUUGUUCGGAUUUACUGGGCGUAAAGGGCGCGUAGGCGGGCGAUUAAGUCAGAGGUGAAAUCCCAAGGCUCAACCUUGGAACUGCCUUUGAUACUGGUUGUCUUGAGUCCGGGAGAGGUGAGUGGAACUGCGAGUGUAGAGGUGAAAUUCGUAGAUAUUGGGAAGAACACCAGUGGCGAAGGCGGCUCACUGGACCGACACUGACGCUGAGGCGCGAAAGCGUGGGGAGCAAACAGGAUUAGAUACCCCCGUAGUCCCUGUCUCUUAUAC
RNAcentral lists this ribosomal RNA (301 nucleotides) under uncultured bacterium. RNAcentral describes it as "partial 16S ribosomal RNA". It matches the Rfam family "Bacterial small subunit ribosomal RNA", at positions 509 to 807 of the family's 1533-position model. The record is from RNAcentral.